AUGUUCACUUAACCAGCACACAUACUGAAAAUGGAAUGGAACAAAGAAGAUUAACAUGGUCCUACACAAAGAGGACUUGCAAAUUCCUGAAGUGUUACAUUUUUUU
Molecule: small nuclear RNA, 106 nt
Filed under: Castor canadensis (American beaver)
Lineage: Eukaryota; Metazoa; Chordata; Mammalia; Rodentia; Castoridae
Source: RNAcentral